GAGAAAAGAGAGAAACUUUCAUGACCCUUUAAUCUUCAAAGCUUGAUUUCCUCUGAACUAAAACUCAAAUCAAAACUCCGAUUUCACCAAAAUGAUCCUCUCUUCUUCAUCUACAUAACCAUGUGACUUAUCAAGGCUGGAAAUAAGGUGAGAUGGCUGUCUCCCUCCCUCUUCAAUUCGGUUUUCAAGGAAAACCAUGUAAACAUGUGUUUUCUUGAUGUUUUUCCUUAAGAAUCAUGCUUAACUUGACUUGAGGGCCAAGAAACGUGAAUUUCCAGCAACUAUAAGGAGGAAAAAGUGCUAAAGGACCACCUGAAAGUCUAACUGAAUUAGGAGCAGCAAAACCAGGGAUAGAGUAUUCUACUACCCGAGGACAGAAGUGGGGUGGGUAGUAAAGAAGAUGAAUG
Arachis stenosperma is the source of this 407-nucleotide long non-coding RNA. RefSeq lists it as uncharacterized. The record is from RefSeq and is a predicted model, not a curated record. Lineage: Eukaryota; Viridiplantae; Streptophyta; Magnoliopsida; Fabales; Fabaceae. The transcript has 3 exons.